Non-coding RNA from Pelobates cultripes (western spadefoot toad), 202 nucleotides. The record is from the annotation of a GenBank genome assembly. NCBI's taxonomy places the organism in Eukaryota, Metazoa, Chordata, Amphibia, Anura, Pelobatidae.
CUCAUGUUUGGGGGAUUGGAGAACUGCCUACACUCUGGGGAUUGCUAUAAUCACUAUACUCCCCAGAGUAAGCUCUUGUAAGAGCUUGUUCUUGUUCCUGUUCCUGCUCUCUGAAAUUUGGAGAGGUCGACCUACUGGAAGCUGGACCCUGGUCUUGGGUCCAGAGUGGGUGGAGACGGCGAGACCCCAACCAAGCUGCGGC